Homo sapiens (human) is the source of this 123-nucleotide long non-coding RNA. RefSeq lists it as uncharacterized. Lineage: Eukaryota; Metazoa; Chordata; Mammalia; Primates; Hominidae. The record is from RefSeq and is a predicted model, not a curated record. The transcript has 3 exons.
UCGUAUUUGCCAUCCUCAAUGUCUUCCAGGGAUUAUUCAGUUUACUCUUUGGAUGCCUCUAGGAUCUGAAGGUACAGGAAGCUUUGCUGAAUAAGUUUUCAUUGUCGAGAUGGUCUUCACCAC